GAUGAACGCUGGCGGCGUGCCUAAUACAUGCAAGUCGAGCGAACAGACGAGGAGCUUGCUCCUCUGACGUUAUCGGCGGACGGGUGAGUAACACGUGGAUAACCUACCUAUAAGACUGGGAUAACUUCGGGAAACCGGAGCUACUACCGGAUAAUAUAUUGAACCGCAUGGUUCAAUAGUUAAAGACGGUUUUGCUGUCACUUAUAGAUGGAUCCGCCCCGCAUUAGCUAGUUGGUAAGGUAACGGCUUACCAAGGCAACGAUGCGUACCCGACCUGAGAGGGUGAUCCGCCACACUGGAACUGAGAAACGGUCCAGACUCCUACGGGAGGCAGCAGUAGGGAAUCUUCCGCAAUGGGCGAAAGCCUGACGGAGCAACGCCGCGUGAGUGAUGAAGGUCUUCGGAUCGUAAAACUCUGUUAUUAGGGAAGAACAAAUGUGUAAGUAACUAUGCACGUCUUGACGGUACCUAAACAGAAAGCCACGGCUAACUACGUG
This 497-nucleotide ribosomal RNA is filed under the name uncultured bacterium. RNAcentral describes it as "partial 16S ribosomal RNA". It matches the Rfam family "Bacterial small subunit ribosomal RNA", at positions 28 to 507 of the family's 1533-position model. The record is from RNAcentral.